ACUCCUACGGGAGGCAGCAGUAGGGAAUCUUCCGCAAUGGACGAAAGUCUGACGGAGCAACGCCGCGUGAGUGACGAAGGUUUUCGGAUCGUAAGACUCUGUUGUGAGGGAAGAACAAGUGCCACGUAACUACUGGCACCUUGACGGUACCUCACCAGAAAGCCACGGCUAACUACGUGCCAGCAGCCGCGGUAAUACGUAGGUGGCAAGCGUUGUCCGGAAUUAUUGGGCGUAAAGCGCGCGCAGGCGGUCCUUUAAGUCUGGUGUGAAAGCCCACGGCUCAACCGUGGAGGGUCAUUGGAAACUGGAGGACUUGAGUGCAGAAGAGGAAAGUGGAAUUCCAUGUGUAGCGGUGAAAUGCGUAGGGAUGUGGAGGAACACCAGUGGCGAAGGCGACUUUCUGGUCUGUAACUGACGCUGAGGCGCGAAAGCGUGGGGAGCAAACAGGAUUAGAUACCCUGGUAGUCCACGCCGUAAACGAUGAGUGCUAAGUGUUAGGGGGUUUCCGCCCCUUAGUGCUGCAGCUAACGCAUUAAGCACUCCGCCUGGGGAGUACGGCCGCAAGGCUGAAACUCAAAGGAAUUGACGGG
Molecule: ribosomal RNA, 590 nt
Filed under: uncultured bacterium
Lineage: Bacteria
Description: bacterial SSU rRNA
Rfam family: Bacterial small subunit ribosomal RNA
Source: RNAcentral